RNAcentral lists this ribosomal RNA (387 nucleotides) under Meloidogyne sp. Lo12174. RNAcentral's name for it is "partial 16S ribosomal RNA". Lineage: Eukaryota; Metazoa; Nematoda; Chromadorea; Rhabditida; Meloidogynidae. The record is from RNAcentral.
UACUUUAUUUGAUUUUUUUAAGUUAAAUUUAUUAACUAAUUGAUUAUUUUAUUUUUGUUGAAACAACAGAAAAUAAUAUCUGGUUAAAUUUUUUUAUUACAAAUAUGAAAAAAAAAAAAAUUUUGUUAAAUAUUAAAUUAAAUUAUUUAUAUUAAAAAAAUUUUUUAUAAUUUUUAUUUUUUUUAUUUUUUUAAAAAAAAAAUAAUUUAAUUAUAAUUAUUUAUAUAAAUUGAUUAAUUAAAUUUAAAAAUUUAAAUUAAAUAAAUUAAAAAAAAAAUGUUUUUUAAAUUCUUUGAGGUUUUGAUUUUUGAUUUUUUGUUUCUGCUCAUUGUUAAAGAAAAGCACUUUUAGCGCGAUUGGCCAAAGGUACCAUUUUAGCGUGAUUGG